This 1759-nucleotide unclassified non-coding RNA is filed under the name Leishmania donovani. RNAcentral describes it as "gene:LdHU3.34.5470(CDS-product:hypothetical_prote in_conserved)". Lineage: Eukaryota; Euglenozoa; Kinetoplastea; Trypanosomatida; Trypanosomatidae. The record is from RNAcentral.
CUCCCCCCCCCCUCCCCUGCCAAUCCGCUCCUCACCGAUUGAUCAGCUCCAGGCGAACCUGUUCGGCGUCCGCAUUGGCAGAGUUGCUGCGGUACGCCAUGGAGCAGGAAAGGGGCUCCACUGAAAACAAAUAACCAGCCGUGUGGAUGAAGCGCUGUUGCAGCUGUUGAAACACGAAGUAUAGUUGCGCCUAUCAUCCACGUCGACCCACGCGGGAGUGCGCUACUCUUUGUGUUGAUGCCAUCUGUGGUGUGACGCGUGUGCGCGUGCUCGUUUUGGCGUCAUGUUAGAGUUUGUCGUCACCACUCGGCCGUCGCGCCGCAUUGUGUGCCGCAACGAGGCAACGUACAUCUACUUUUGGCCCUACCUCUUCUGUCGCGAAGUCCCGGGUGCCCUGCAGUUGUGUCGGUGGGCUGCACGUCGUGGUGCAGCCGUGCACGGUGCCGUCCGGCUGCAGCCCAGCGAGACCCCCAACGCAGCGCAUCGAUGCUAUCUGAAAGUAACACGCCCUGUCGCCGCAGGCCGCACGCUCAUUUCGCUUCCGGCAGCGCUUUCUCUGAGUGUCAGCUCUCCAGAGUCGCGCAAAGGCACCUUCAUCGGACGCUACAGCGCCCUUGAGAACUUUGCGCAGCUCCUCGCCCGUGAGCUGCACAACCCGCGCAGCCCUCAUCGCGCCUAUCUCGAGUUUCUGCAUGACCUGCACAACUCGGGGACGGAAGAGGUAUCGGACGCGCUUCUUGCCGGGCUCCACUACGAGCGUGCUGCGGUACUGGUUGAUCAACUAGAUGCCAUGUACGCCGGGAACUCGCUGCAAGCACGCGGGGCUGCCAACGCGCCGUUCCUGGACAAGGAGCAGCUGACCUCAGCAAGUCAGCGCGUGGAGUGGGUGCGGCUGCAACAGCUGCAGCGUCGCCUUGAGCAAGGCGUGCCCCACUUUGCCGCCAAAUCAACAGCCUGGGCGUUGUCCAUGGCGCUGAGUCGCGCAAUGGAGGACGACGCGGAGGGGCUCAGCCUUUAUCCGCUGAUCGACUUUUGCGCCCAUAGCUUUGAGCCGAGCGCAUACGUCUGUGUAGGCGAAGAGCGCGUUGCAGCCGUGCGACCGGUUCGCUGGGCAGAUUCGAGCGGAGAGCCCCUUGUGCACGUCGUGACGCGACGUUUGCUGCGCGCAGGCGAAAAGGUUACCCUGCGGUGGCAUUGGCGGCCUGUCAAGACGACGGAGGAUGCGGAGUUUUGGCAGAUGCGCUUCGGCUACGUUCCGCUGUCAGAGUAGCCGCACGAUGGGGUUCGUGCGCAGGUCUCUGCACGCAUACGUUCACACGUGCGAUGGCGCCGUACGUGGCCUGUGCGCUCGUGCCUGACUCACUGUCGUGUACUGCCUACCUUCAUCACAGGUCCUCUCAACGAACGAAAAGCAGCCAUGGAAACAGAGAGGGGAGCAGCCACAAACGACAAGGAAAAACAUGGCCCAGCACUUGCAGGAAGACACGACCUGUGUGUGUGCGCGCGCGUGUGCGUGCCUGUGCUUCUUUUCCCAAGCGUCGGGCGAGUGAGCAGCACCAGAAACGCCUGAGUCGAUGCAUCUGAUGUCGCCUACUUCUCUCAUCGUCCCUCUCCCUCCUUCGUCACUUGUGCAUGUCGCCGUCGCCUUUCGUUUUGUUCUUAUUUUCCGAGCGGUGUAUGUGUGCCUGCAUCUGUGUGUGUGUUGUUCGCUGUGUGCACCGACGGAUGGCCGCCGGCCUCCUCCCUUGUUGAGCACAAG